This 512-nucleotide ribosomal RNA is filed under the name uncultured bacterium. RNAcentral describes it as "bacterial SSU rRNA". It matches the Rfam family "Bacterial small subunit ribosomal RNA", at positions 30 to 526 of the family's 1533-position model. The record is from RNAcentral.
AUUGAACGCUGGCGGCAUGCCUAACACAUGCAAGUCGAACGGCAGCAUGGUACUAGCUUGCUAGUACUGAUGGCGAGUGGCGGACGGGUGAGUAAUGCGUAGGAAUCUGCCUCAAAAUGGGGGAUAACUCGGGGAAACUCGGGCUAAUACCGCAUAAUCUCUACGGAGCAAAGAAGGGGACCUUCGGGCCUUUCGUUUUGAGAUGAGCCUACGCCGGAUUACGCUAGUUGGUAGGGUAAAGGCCUACCAAGGUUAUGAUCCGUAGCUGGUCUGAGAGGACGGCCAGCCACACUGGGACUGAGACACGGCCCAGACUCCUACGGGAGGCAGCAGUGGGGAAUAUUGGACAAUGGGGGCAACCCUGAUCCAGCAAUGCCGCGUGUGUGAAGAAGGCCUUCGGGUUGUAAAGCACUUUUAGUGGAGAAGAAAAGUUCGAGGUUAAUACCUUCGAACCUUGACGUUACCCAAAGAAAAAGCACCGGCUAACUCUGUGCCAGCAGCCGCCGUAAAAC